AGUAGUUUGAUCCUGGCUCAGAAUCAACGCUGGCGGCGUGCCUCAGACAUGCAAGUCGAACGAUUAAAGCUCUCUUCGGAGAGUGCAUAGAGUGGCGCACGGGUGAGUAACACGUAAGUAAUCUACCUUCGAGUGGGAAUAACGUCCGGAAACGGACGCUAAUACCGCAUAAUGCAGCGGCAUCGUAAGAUGACAGUUGUUAAAGAUUUAUCGCUUGAAGAGGAGCUUGCGGCAGAUUAGCUAGUUGGUAAGGUAAUGGCUUACCAAGGCUACGAUCUGUAACCGGUCUUAGAGGACGGUCGGUCACACUGACACUGAAUAACGGGUCAGACUCCUACGGGAGGCAGCAGUCGGGAAUUUUGGGCAAUGGGCGAAAGCCUGACCCAGCAACGCCGCGUGAAGGAUGAAGUAUUUCGGUAUGUAAACUUCGAAAGAAUAGGAAGAAUAAAUGACGGUACUAUUUAUAAGGUCCGGCUAACUACGUG
RNAcentral lists this ribosomal RNA (485 nucleotides) under uncultured bacterium. Its description in RNAcentral is "bacterial SSU rRNA". It matches the Rfam family "Bacterial small subunit ribosomal RNA", at positions 1 to 507 of the family's 1533-position model. The record is from RNAcentral.